UACAGAGGGGGCAAGCGUUAUUCGGAAUUAUUGGGCGUAAAGGGCGCGUAGGCGGCCUGGCAAGUGGAAGGUGAAAUCCCUCGGCUUAACCGGGGAACUGCGUCUGAUACUGGAUGGCUUGAGUUUGGGAGAGGGAUGCGGAAUUCCAGGUGUAGCGGUGAAAUGCGUAGAGAUCCGGAAGAACACCGGAGGCGAAGGCGGCUUGCUGGACCUGGUCUGACGCUGAGGCGCGAAAGCGUGGGGAGCGAACAGG
This 253-nucleotide ribosomal RNA is filed under the name uncultured bacterium. RNAcentral describes it as "partial 16S ribosomal RNA". It matches the Rfam family "Bacterial small subunit ribosomal RNA", at positions 524 to 776 of the family's 1533-position model. The record is from RNAcentral.